AUUAGAAAGAUCUCAUAGUCAUUCUACAACUUUCCCUCCUCUCAGCUUUCCUUCUCAGCUUUCCCUCUCAUCUCUUUCCUAAUCACAAAUCGUCAUCAAGCCAUUAUUCAUUGUCUCUUCUUCUCAUCGAACUGUUCUUCUGGAGCAUUUUCCCUCCAUCAGCCUCUUCGUCGAUCUAUCAGCCUCUCGUCGAACCAUUUAUGGAGUUCUCAUCCUGCAACCAUGGAACUUUUGUUGUCGUCUUCAUCAUUUUCUCUCUCGAGCGCUUCUCAGCCAUCCACAUUUUCUUCAGAGAUUCAUAGGUUUGUUCAUCACAAAAUCACUUCAUUAUGGUCAAAUCUCCAUUUCUUCCUUCUAUUUUUACUUCCAUAUACAAAACCACCUCCAAAUCCUAGGGUUUCGUCCUCCUCUUCAUUUUUCCUUCAUUUUUAACCAAUUAAAAUCACUUUUUUACUGUUAAAACCAUUUCUACUGUUUGUCCUUCGAUUUCCACCAAUUUAACCUCCAUUUUCAUCGUUUAAACAAUUUUGUACUGAUCAAUCUUACGUUUGAACCGAUUAAUCGGUUCAUAUUGAGUUUCUUUCCCUUUGUAGGGUUCCUUCGGCCCAGAUUAGGGUUCGUCGUCCAUUUUUGAGCUUUUCCCCAAUCAUUUUGGCUUCAAUUUNUUUGUUUAGGGUUUUUUAACAUUUUCUUCCGUUUAUUCUUUGUUUUGCUCUCGAUGUCUCAUUAUUCCGCUGCGUUUGCUCAUCAAGAAGCUUCUAUCAAGUGGCCGCAAAAUCAAUCACACCCAANGGCGUUUCGGUGCUCCUCGCCAACCCUUNCCUAGAUUCUUUGUCGGAUCUUCCCGACAUUGUUGUUCAAAUAGUUGAUCUCAAGCCCAGCGGAAACAGAUACAUCUUGCUGAAAUAAUGAUUCAGGUUUACUCAAAGGUGAGUGGAGAAAAAACUCCUGAAACCCCAACCAUUGAUGUGAGCUCAAAAGAAUUUUAUGGUGAGGGAUAUGAUGACAGUGACAAGAGAAUUCCUGACAUGACCAUAAUAAACAAGCAGCUUGGUUGAAAUCCUAAGACUUCGCUCUUCGACCUGCUGGAAUCCACUCUGACCUAUCAGCACAGGACAUAUGCUGAAGCCAUCAAGAAAGUAAUUUGCUAUCUUGGAGAAGGGUGACGUUGCGUAAGUUUCUGCCAUAUUUCACUGGUUGAUUUUAUAUAAAUGGUAAAUUUUCUUCCUUUUGGUUUCCUUAGCCAGCAGUAGGCAAUAACUCACAUAAGUCAUUGCCUUAAUGUAUGUUCUAGAGAAGUAGGAAUUUAUAUAUAGGGAAAUCUAUGUUGCUGUGUAAUUUUAAUGUAUACUUUGCGUUACUAAACAUCUUGAGGCAUUUUAUAAUAUUAGAGAAGAUGUUUUUUAUGUGUUGCUAGGGAUCUCUCCAACAUUGUUUUGUUGUCUUUCCGGGUCAGCUGUAAGUUGUAUCAUUCUGUAUUGAUCCUCUUAAGAGCCAUGUCUUCUUAAUAUUAAUUUAUUAUAUGUUUUUUUAGUGGUAUAGUUUUAAAUAUUGCUCCAGUUUAUCUUUGUUUAAAUUAAACUAUCUUUUCCCUUCCUUGUCAUACUUAUGUUCUUAUUGUCAAAUAUUUGCAUUGGGUUCUUUUUUUCGUAUGCAGUGUAGAAAAUUCGAAACUUUGGUNUGGUAUGCUUUGGGAAUGGAAUAUUCCUCACAAUGUUCUGAAUGCUAGUCCCAAGGUUUGUGAAAUUAUAUUGUUGGUAUCUUCAAAACCCUAAUUCCUCUUUUUUUAGCCAUUAUGUUCCCUCACAUUCUUUGGUUGUUGUUGUUUGAAUCUUUGGUGCUAAGCAGAGCAUUGGCGUGAAUAAUUGAGAAGUUCAUGGAUUUUUUAUUAUGUUUUUUCCCUCUAUUCUAUCUCAUUAUUGCUUGGAGCAACCAUUAGCUUUUUCUUUGUCCAACCAACUCCAAAAGCCUAAUUUUUUGGCUACUUAGCUGAUGGAUAUAUUUUCUACUGUGAUGAAGCAUGAUAAAGGUAUCCAACAUUCGAUUUUCCUGGAUAUUCAGUGGACUUUUCAAUAUAUAAAGGGAACUUCUGGAAAGAGUUUCAAACAACACCAACCAAUAGGUUGAUCAAGGGAUAUGUUUGAAAGGUAAGUCUGAAGAUGAUAAGGUAUCAAACAAAAAAAGGCUAAGGGUUUGAUGAUAAUGGGAUCGCUCCCGGUUCAGUUCCUAACCUUUAUCCACCAUCCCUCAAGCAUAUGAAGUUGUCAUGGAGGAUGGAAAGUUUUUCUACAAGCAAUCAGGAGAACUCCUAACACCAUUGCAACAUACGAGAUCAAUUUGAUUCAAACUAAGAGACAAUGAUCAAGUACAAGAUAAAGAAUCCUUUAAUUUGCUUUGUUCUUAUUGUAAUUAUUAGUAUNAGAAACAUCCAGACUUUAGUUAUCACUAUGUUUGAGUAAUCAGAUAUUUGAAUUUUAUAGUAUGUGAACUUUAUGUGUGAAA
This is a long non-coding RNA of Vigna radiata var. radiata (mung bean), 2502 nucleotides long. RefSeq lists it as uncharacterized. The record is from RefSeq and is a predicted model, not a curated record. The transcript has 7 exons. Lineage: Eukaryota; Viridiplantae; Streptophyta; Magnoliopsida; Fabales; Fabaceae.